AAAACGGCCCUUCUCAGGGCCAAAAUACUCACAUGUUAUGUUUAUCU
This is a non-coding RNA of Pediculus humanus corporis (human body louse), 47 nucleotides long. Lineage: Eukaryota; Metazoa; Arthropoda; Insecta; Psocodea; Pediculidae. The record is from Rfam.